AACCUGCAAAGCAGAUUGACUAGCGAACACGUUCAUCAUGUGGGGGAAGGGUGUGCUGGGGUGACUUGUCACCCCGCCCAUCCAACCCCUGGCUUCGGGGUCAUCCCUUGCGGUUGACUCCUUGGCACAAUAACGAACCCCGGCGCGUUCUGCGCCAAGGAACAUCAAUAUAGUGUGUGCCCAUGCCGUGCCCGGUCUUCCGGCGCUUGGCGGGCACCCGGUGAUAAUACAAUAAUGACUCUCGGCAACGGAUAUCUCGGCUCUCGCAUCGAUGAAGAACGUAGCGAAAUGCGAUACUUGGUGUGAAUUGCAGAAUCCCGUGAACCAUCGAGUCUUUGAACGCAAGUUGCGCCCGAAGCCUCCUGGCUGAGGGCACGUCUGCCUGGGCGUCACGCAUCGCGUCUCCCCCCAUCCCGCACGCUAGUGUGGGGGAGGGGGAGGAUGAUGGCCUCCCAUGCCUCACCGGGUGUGGCUGGCCUAAAAGAGGAGCCUCGGGUCACUGAUUGCCGCGGCGUAUGGUGGUAUACAAGGCCUUGCCUCGGAUGCAACGCGCCGCGCGGGACGUGAACGUUGAGGACUCGUAGGACCCUACUCUGUCUCCUUCGGCGACAGAACCGUUGCGACC
RNAcentral lists this ribosomal RNA (625 nucleotides) under Suaeda corniculata. RNAcentral's name for it is "eukaryotic LSU rRNA". The stretch from base 237 to 392 matches the Rfam family "5.8S ribosomal RNA". The record is from RNAcentral. Lineage: Eukaryota; Viridiplantae; Streptophyta; Magnoliopsida; Caryophyllales; Amaranthaceae.